GACGAACGCUGGCGGCGUGCUUAACACAUGCAAGUCGAACGGAAAGGCCCUGCUUUUGUGGGGUGCUCGAGUUGCGAACGGGUGAGUAACACGUGAGUAACCUGCCCUUGACUUUGGGAUAACUUCAGGAAACUGGGUCUAAUACCGGAUAGGAGCUCCUGCUGCUUGGUGGGGGUUGGAAAGUUUCGGCGGUUGGGGAUGGACUCGCGGCUUAUCAGCUUGUUGGUGGGGUAGUGGCUUACCAAGGCUUUGACGGGUAGCCGGCCUGAGCGGGUGACCGGCCACAUUGGGACUGAGAUACGGCCCAGACUCCUCCGGGAGGCAGGAGUGGGGAAUGUUGCACAAUGGGCGGAAGCCUGAUGCAGCAACGCCGCGUGCGGGAUGACGGCCAUCGGGUUGUAAACCGCAUCCGCCUGUGACGAAGCGUGAGUGACGGUAAUGGGUAAAGAAGCACCGGCUAACUACGUG
Molecule: ribosomal RNA, 468 nt
Filed under: uncultured bacterium
Lineage: Bacteria
Description: partial 16S ribosomal RNA
Rfam family: Bacterial small subunit ribosomal RNA
Source: RNAcentral